CCUUAACCUGCUAAAUAGCUACACAAACACUUUGUUUGUGGCUAGCUUCUUAGAGGGACUGACUACGUUUAGUGGUCGGAAGUUUGAGGCAAUAACAGGUCUGUGAUGCCCUUAGAUGUUCUGGGCCGCACGCGCGCUACACUGAUAAAGGCAGCGAGUAUAUAACCUUGACCGGAAGGUCUGGGAAAUCUUGUGAAACUUUAUCGUGCUGGGGAUAGACCAUUGCAAUUAUUGGUCUUCAACGAGGAAUUCCUAGUAAGCGCAAGUCAUCAGCUUGCGUUGAUUACGUCCCUGCCCUUUGUACACACCGCCCGUCGGUACUACCGAUUGAAUGGCUUAGUGAGAUCUUCGGAUCGACUGUCAUUCCGCAAGGAAACGACUGUUGAAAAGUUGCUCAAACUUGGUCAUUUAGAGGAAGUAAAAGUCG
This 427-nucleotide ribosomal RNA is filed under the name Microsporidia sp. clade IX. RNAcentral describes it as "SSU rRNA". It matches the Rfam family "Eukaryotic small subunit ribosomal RNA", at positions 1341 to 1791 of the family's 1831-position model. The record is from RNAcentral. Lineage: Eukaryota; Fungi; Microsporidia.